RNAcentral lists this ribosomal RNA (494 nucleotides) under Triticum aestivum (bread wheat). RNAcentral's name for it is "partial small subunit ribosomal RNA". The record is from RNAcentral. Lineage: Eukaryota; Viridiplantae; Streptophyta; Magnoliopsida; Poales; Poaceae.
AGGUGCUCGUCCUUGUCUCCGCCAUAGCCCGCCGCCGUAGCUUACUUAUGCCAGUGCGAGCCACAGCAGCUCACCGCCCUGGCUCCCCCACGCCUGCGCCAACAACCGCAGCUCGCCGCAGCCCGCCGUUGGUAGCCCAAGCCUGCGCGCGCCGGCGGAGCUCGCCGUCGCCUCGCUUAUGCCUGCUCGAGCUCUCGUAGCUCGUCGACGGUGCUCGUCCAAGUCUGCACGAGCGGGCAUAGCUCAUCCUCGCCUCUCUGAUGCCUGCGCGAGCCGCCGUAGCUCGCCGCCCAGGCCCUGCGCGAGCAACCACAGCUCGCCCUCGCCUGCGUGCUGGCGGAGCUCGCCGCACGGCAUGCUAGAGAGGUGCGCCAGCGACUUCGUGUCCCUGAACACCAGCACCAUGGCAACAUCAACUGGAGGCCCUUUUGAUGGUCCGUGAGGAGGAGACGAACGCGUGUGCAGGUGCUGAAAAUGUAGAAUGCAAGCAACCU